GCAUGUGCUGUGAGCUCGAUGAGUAGGGCGGGACACGUGGUAUCCUGUCUGAAUAUGGGGGGACCAUCCUCCAAGGCUAAAUACUCCUGACUGACCGAUAGUGAACCAGUACCGUGAGGGAAAGGCGAAAAGAACCCCGGCGAGGGGAGUGAAAAAGAACCUGAAACCGUGUACGUACAAGCAGUGGGAGCACAGGUUUACCUGUGUGACUGCGUACCUUUUGUAUAAUGGGUCAGCGACUUAUAUUCUGUAGCAAGGUUAACCGCAUAGGGGAGCCGGAGGGAAACCGAGUCUUAACCGGGCGUUAAGUUGCAGGGUAUAGACCCGAAACCCGGUGAUCUAGCCAUGGGCAGGUUGAAGGUUGGGUAACACUAACUGGAGGACCGAACCGACUAAUGUUGAAAAAUUAGCGGAUGACCUGUGGCUGGGGGUGAAAGGCCAAUCAAACCGGGAGAUAGCUGGUUCUCCCCGAAAGCUAUUUAGGUAGCGCCUCGUGAAUUCAUCUCCGGGGGUAGAGCACUGUUUCGGCUAGGGGGCCAUCCCGGCUUACCAACCCGAUGCAAACUGCGAAUACCGGAGAAUGUUAUCACGGGAGACACACGGCGGGUGCUAACGUCCGUCGUGAAGAGGGAAACAACCCAGACCGCCAGCUAAGGUCCCAAAGUCAUGGUUAAGUGGGAAACGAUGUGGGAAGGCCCAGACAGCCAGGAUGUUGGCUUAGAAGCAGCCAUCAUUUAAAGAAAGCGUAAUAGCUCACUGGUCGAGUCGGCCUGCGCGGAAGAUGUAACGGGGCUAAACCAUGCACCGAAGCUGCGGCAGCGACACUCAGGUGUUGUUGGGUAGGGGAGCGUUCUGUAAGCCUGUGAAGGUGUGCUGUGAGGCAUGCUGGAGGUAUCAGAAGUGCGAAUGCUGACAUAAGUAACGAUAAAGCGGGUGAAAAGCCCGCUCGCCGGAAGACCAAGGGUUCCUGUCCAACGUUAAUCGGGGCAGGGUGAGUCGACCCCUAAGGCGAGGCCGAAAGGCGUAGUCGAUGGGAAACGGGUUAAUAUUCCCGUACUUGGUGUUACUGCGAAGGGGGGACGGAGAAGGCUAUGUUGGCCGGGCGACGGUUGUCCCGGUUUAAGCGUGUAGGUGUGUGUUCCAGGUAAAUCCGGUUCACUUUAACACUGAGGCGUGACGACGAGGCACUACGGUGCUGAAGCAACAAAUGCCCUGCUUCCAGGAAAAGCCUCUAAGCAUCAGGUAACAUCAAAUCGUACCCCAAACCGACACAGGUGGUCAGGUAGAGAAUACCAAGGCGCUUGAGAGAACUCGGGUGAAGGAACUAGGCAAAAUGGUGCCGUAACUUCGGGAGAAGGCACGCUGACACGUAGGUGAAGUGAUUUACUCAUGGAGCUGAAGUCAGUCGAAGAUACCAGCUGGCUGCAACUGUUUAUUAAAAACACAGCACUGUGCAAACACGAAAGUGGACGUAUACGGUGUGACGCCUGCCCGGUGCCGGAAGGUUAAUUGAUGGGGUCAGCGCAAGCGAAGCUCCUGAUCGAAGCCCCGGUAAACGGCGGCCGUAACUAUAACGGUCCUAAGGUAGCGAAAUUCCUUGUCGGGUAAGUUCCGACCUGCACGAAUGGCGUAAUGAUGGCCAGGCUGUCUCCACCCGAGACUCAGUGAAAUUGAACUCGCUGUGAAGAUGCAGUGUACCCGCGGCAAGACGGAAAGACCCCGUGAACCUUUACUAUAGCUUGACACUGAACAUUGAGCCUUGAUGUGUAGGAUAGGUGGGAGGCUUUGAAGUGUGGACGCCAGUCUGCAUGGAGCCGACCUUGAAAUACCACCCUUUAAUGUUUGAUGUUCUAACGUGGACCCGUAAUCCGGGUUGCGGACAGUGUCUGGUGGGUAGUUUGACUGGGGCGGUCUCCUCCUAAAGAGUAACGGAGGAGCACGAAGGUUGGCUAAUCCUGGUCGGACAUCAGGAGGUUAGUGCAAUGGCAUAAGCCAGCUUGACUGCGAGCGUGACGGCGCGAGCAGGUGCGAAAGCAGGUCAUAGUGAUCCGGUGGUUCUGAAUGGAAGGGCCAUCGCUCAACGGAUAAAAGGUACUCCGGGGAUAACAGGCUGAUACCGCCCAAGAGUUCAUAUCGACGGCGGUGUUUGGCACCUCGAUGUCGGCUCAUCACAUCCUGGGGCUGAAGUAGGUCCCAAGGGUAUGGCUGUUCGCCAUUUAAAGUGGUACGCGAGCUGGGUUUAGAACGUCGUGAGACAGUUCGGUCCCUAUCUGCCGUGGGCGCUGGAGAACUGAGGGGGGCUGCUCCUAGUACGAGAGGACCGGAGUGGACGCAUCACUGGUGUUCGGGUUGUCAUGCCAAUGGCACUGCCCGGUAGCUAAAUGCGGAAGAGAUAAGUGCUGAAAGCAUCUAAGCACGAAACUUGCCCCGAGAUGAGUUCUCCCUGAGACUUUAGGUCUCCUGAAGGAACGUUGAAGACGACGACGUUGAUAGGCCGGGUGUGUAAGCGCAGCGAUGCGUUGAGCUAACCGGUACUAAUGAACCGUGAGGCUUAACCUUACAACGCCGAAG
This 2571-nucleotide ribosomal RNA is filed under the name Salmonella enterica subsp. enterica serovar Hessarek. RNAcentral describes it as "partial 23S ribosomal RNA". It matches the Rfam family "Bacterial large subunit ribosomal RNA", at positions 390 to 2925 of the family's 2925-position model. Lineage: Bacteria; Pseudomonadati; Pseudomonadota; Gammaproteobacteria; Enterobacterales; Enterobacteriaceae. The record is from RNAcentral.